CCAAUAACCAAUAAACAAAAGGUACACCAUGAAUUGGUGCAUUACUUCUUAUUCCUAAUCCAAAAACCAUCCAGUAAACCAUAAUUUGCAUAACAGGGUUAAUUAAUUCCCAUGCCACACCUAAAUAGUUACUAUGAUUGAUAAUUUUAACUUGAAACUGAGCCAGUCUUUGAAUUAAAUAAAAGUUCUUUACAUGUUCUUUAAAAACUGUUCCUAUUGCUGACAUUCCAUUAAACCACACUUUCAAAUGUUUAACUAUUUCUCUACUUAACUAAAUAGUAUUAUAAUAAUUGUUGUAAAUACUAUCACUAUACAUGGAUGCUAUCAAAUUAUUGUCUAGUUCUUUAAAAUAUUAGUUUAUUACAAAUACAUUAUAGUAUACAAUCAUGUAAGUUGAAAUAAGUUUAGUUUUUAAAUAUCAUUGUUAUCAUUGAUGCUUAACAUUUUGUAUCAAAACACCAACUCUGAUAAUAACAAAAUCUUCUAUACACUUUACAACAGGUUUUAAAAUUUAACAACUGUUGAGUAGUAUAUUAUAAUCUAGAUAAAUGUGAAUAAGGAAGGUC
This 566-nucleotide small RNA is filed under the name Staphylococcus aureus. RNAcentral describes it as "Antisense". The record is from RNAcentral. Lineage: Bacteria; Bacillati; Bacillota; Bacilli; Caryophanales; Staphylococcaceae.